CCUACGGGUGGCAGCAGUCGAGAAUCAUUCACAAUGGGGGAAACCCUGAUGGUGCGACGCCGCGUGGGGGAAUGAAGGUCUUCGGAUUGUAAACCCCUGUCAUGUGGGAGCAAAUUAAAAAGAUAGUACCACAAGAGGAAGAGACGGCUAACUCUGUGCCAGCAGCCGCGGUAAUACAGAGGUCUCAAGCGUUGUUCGGAAUCACUGGGCGUAAGGCGUGCGUAGGCUGUUUCGUAAGUCGUGUGUGAAAGGCGCGGGCUCAACCCGCGGACGGCACAUGAUACUGCGAGGCUAGAGUAAUGGAGGGGGAACCGGAAUUCUCGGUGUAGCAGUGAAAUGCGUAGAUAUCGAGAGGAACACUCGUGGCGAAGGCGGGUUCCUGGACAUUAACUGACGCUGAGGCACGAAGGCCAGGGGAGCGAAAGGGAUUAGAUACCCCAGUAGUC
RNAcentral lists this ribosomal RNA (446 nucleotides) under uncultured bacterium. RNAcentral's name for it is "partial 16S ribosomal RNA". It matches the Rfam family "Bacterial small subunit ribosomal RNA", at positions 338 to 795 of the family's 1533-position model. The record is from RNAcentral.